GAGUUUGAUCCUGGCUCAGAUUGAACGCUGGCGGCAUGCCUUACACAUGCAAGUCGAACGGCAGCAUGAUCUAGCUUGCUAGAUUGAUGGCGAGUGGCGAACGGGUGAGUAAUACAUCGGAACGUGCCCUGUAGUGGGGGAUAACUAGUCGAAAGAUUAGCUAAUACCGCAUACGACCUGAGGGUGAAAGUGGGGGACCGCAAGGCCUCAUGCUAUAGGAGCGGCCGAUGUCUGAUUAGCUAGUUGGUGGGGUAAAGGCCCACCAAGGCGACGAUCAGUAGCUGGUCUGAGAGGACGAUCAGCCACACUGGGACUGAGACACGGCCCAGACUCCUACGGGAGGCAGCAGUGGGGAAUUUUGGACAAUGGGCGAAAGCCUGAUCCAGCAAUGCCGCGUGUGUGAAGGAGGCC
Molecule: ribosomal RNA, 411 nt
Filed under: uncultured microorganism
Description: bacterial SSU rRNA
Rfam family: Bacterial small subunit ribosomal RNA
Source: RNAcentral